CCGCUUUUAGCUCAGUGGUCCAGCGUUGGCUUUGGAAGCCACAGGUCGGUGGUUUGAAGCCACCAGGGCACA
This is a transfer RNA of Phytophthora infestans T30-4, 72 nucleotides long. It matches the Rfam family "tRNA". Rfam says of the family: Transfer RNA (tRNA) molecules are approximately 80 nucleotides in length. NCBI's taxonomy places the organism in Eukaryota, Oomycota, Peronosporomycetes, Peronosporales, Peronosporaceae. The record is from Rfam.